GCGCUCCGAAGGCGAGGCCGCUGUCGCUGUAGAUGCCCUGGAGUCGACGUCGGUAGCUGCUGCCGGAGCGGGUUUCAAAACCCGGAGGCGGACUUCAUCCAGGGAGGACUGCAUGUUGGUGGGAGCGGCGAGGACCGGGUCUUCGUGCUGAUGGUCGUAUGUCUGGAGUCUUGGUCUUUGAGAAGCGCUGUUGGCGCUAACGGAGCAGUGUUGUUAGCGUUAGCAGCAGCGGGGCGACAGCACUUCUUCUGUCAACAACUUUCUCGGACGAUGAAGCGACGGGAGGAAGAUGACAGCUCUCUUCAUCUCUCUCCUCCGUCGCUCCCUCGUCGUCUUGGGUGUCGAGGUCGCAAACCUUCCUCGAAAUGGAUCCGUCGUCCAGCUCGAGAUGAAACGUGACGCACGCGGAUAUGCAGUUGACGAGAGACGAGGACGAGCGGCGGACCAACACAGACGCACCAACAACCGGAAGUGACACACUACGUCAGCGCAGCACAGACGCACCAACAACCGGAAGUGACACACUACGUCAGCGCAGCACGUCCCCUGUGACGUGACUUGAUGCGCUCGCUUCAUGUUGUAAAAGAAGCCUACGACCAACACCGCGAAUCACUUGUGUUUUAAAUGGGGGCCUUGUAAUAUUCUGAUUCACGGGCUUCUCCAAACCUUUUGGGAAUAAAGCGACGUUUUGUAAAAA
Molecule: long non-coding RNA, 697 nt
Organism: Scophthalmus maximus (turbot)
Lineage: Eukaryota; Metazoa; Chordata; Actinopteri; Pleuronectiformes; Scophthalmidae
Exons: 2
Source: RefSeq, a predicted model, not a curated record